GAGUUUGAUCAUGGCUCAGGAUGAACGCUGGCGGCGUGCUUAACACAUGCAAGUCGAACGAAGCGCCUUAUUUGAUUUUCUUCGGAACUGAAGAUUUGGUGACUGAGUGGCGGACGGGUGAGUAACGCGUGGGUAACCUGCCCUGUACAGGGGGAUAACAAUCAGAAAUGACUGCUAAUACCGCAUAAGACCACAGCACCGCAUGGUGCAGGGGUAAAAAACUCCGGUGGUACAGGAUGGACCCGCGUCUGAUUAGCUGGUUGGUGAGGUAACGGCUCACCAAGGCGACGAUCAGUAGCCGGCUUGAGAGAGUGAACGGCCACAUUGGGACUGAGACACGGCCCAAAACUCCUACGGGAGGCAGCAGUGGGGAAUAUUGCACAAUGGGGGAAACCCUGAUGCAGCAACGCCGCGUGAGUGAAGAAGUAUUUCGGUAUGUAAAGCUCUAUCAGCAGGGAAGAAAGUGACGGUACCUGACUAAGAAGCCCCGGCUAACUACGUGGCAGCCGCCGCCGUAAC
This 519-nucleotide ribosomal RNA is filed under the name uncultured microorganism. Its description in RNAcentral is "bacterial SSU rRNA". It matches the Rfam family "Bacterial small subunit ribosomal RNA", at positions 9 to 524 of the family's 1533-position model. The record is from RNAcentral.